RNAcentral lists this ribosomal RNA (444 nucleotides) under uncultured bacterium. RNAcentral describes it as "bacterial SSU rRNA". It matches the Rfam family "Bacterial small subunit ribosomal RNA", at positions 331 to 792 of the family's 1533-position model. The record is from RNAcentral.
CCAGACUCCUACGGGAGGCAGCAGUAGGGAAUCUUUCACAAUGGGCGAAAGCCUGAUGGAGCAACGCCGCGUGCAGGAUGAAGGCCUUCGGGUUGUAAACUGCUUUUAUAAGCGAGAAAUAUGAUGGUAACUUAUGAAUAAGGGUCGGCUAACUACGUGCCAGCAGCCGCGGUAAUACGUAGGGGGCAAGCGUUAUCCGGAAUUACUGGGUGUAAAGGGAGCGUAGACGGUUAAGUAAGUCUGGAGUGAAAGGCCGGGGCCCAACCCCGGGACUGCUCUGGAAACUAUUUAACUUGAGUGCAGGAGAGGUAAGCGGAAUUCCUAGUGUAGCGGUGAAAUGCGUAGAUAUUAGGAGGAACACCAGUGGCGAAGGCGGCUUACUGGACUGUAACUGACGUUGAGGCUCGAAAGCGUGGGGAGCAAACAGGAUUAGAUACCCCCGUA